AUUGAACGCUGGCGGCAGGCCUAACACAUGCAAGUCGAGCGGAUGAAGGGAGCUUGCUCCUGGAUUCAGCGGCGGACGGGUGAGUAAUGCCUAGGAAUCUGCCUGGUAGUGGGGGAUAACGUCCGGAAACGGGCGCUAAUACCGCAUACGUCCUGAGGGAGAAAGUGGGGGAUCUUCGGACCUCACGCUAUCAGAUGAGCCUAGGUCGGAUUAGCUAGUUGGUGGGGUAAAGGCCUACCAAGGCGACGAUCCGUAACUGGUCUGAGAGGAUGAUCAGUCAAGCAGGAACACGGAGACGGGCAGAGUGAGAAGGGGAGGAGGGAGUGGAGAAGAUGGGAGAGGGGGAGAAAGACGGAACAGGCCGUGCGGGGGGUGGGAAGGAGGUUACGGAAUUGAAAAGAACUGUAAGUUGGGAGGAUGGGAAUGAAGUAAAGACCUUGUGGUAUUGAAGUAACCAAAAGAAAAAGCACCGGCUAAGCGCGUGAAAUCAGCCGAGGUAAUGAUAGAAGCGAACACGUCUGAAC
RNAcentral lists this ribosomal RNA (524 nucleotides) under uncultured bacterium. RNAcentral describes it as "partial 16S ribosomal RNA". It matches the Rfam family "Bacterial small subunit ribosomal RNA", at positions 35 to 539 of the family's 1533-position model. The record is from RNAcentral.